UUUAGAUUGUGCUAUGAGUUAGAUAGGAACAUGAGAAUCAUUUGGUGUGAGUUUUAUUCUUAAUGUUACUAUGGCACUGGAAUCCAUUUGGUGAGAAGAGCAAGAUGUCAAUGGCUUGGAAAAUUGAACUAGAAUAGUGUUACUGAGGCUAGCUCAUCAUCUGGGAGUUGUGAAAAGCUGUCUGUGUUGUUGUGGUUGGAAAUGCAGUCCGUGAUGUUGCUCAGCUACAUGUGCUGGGAUGAUAUGCCAGCUCAUGGUUACGUUUGGCUGGGUUGAGCUGAAGUAGUGAACAUGCUGUUGCAGUGAAGAUGACAUUCCCCAAGAACCCCAUUCCAAGGGACUAGUUUUAGGCUCCUAAGAACUUGGUUCUUCCUGGUAUACAGCUUCUGUUUCUUUAGGACACAGAAAUCCAGCUUGACCCUGCUGCAUAGCCAGUGAGGAGAGAGCCCUACACUGAAAUCCCAGAGCCCUGUUUCUCAGAUGGGGAAGAAGAGGGACUGGCUGAAGCUCUCCAGCAGGAAUGGGACACCCUCAACACUGCAUCUGUAAUGUGGUAUCAAGAUGUAUGGUGAUCUUCUCAACUGUCAUGUUGAUACAAUAAAGUGAUGGUGUCACUGGA
Lepisosteus oculatus (spotted gar) is the source of this 619-nucleotide long non-coding RNA. RefSeq lists it as uncharacterized. The record is from RefSeq and is a predicted model, not a curated record. NCBI's taxonomy places the organism in Eukaryota, Metazoa, Chordata, Actinopteri, Semionotiformes, Lepisosteidae.